This 570-nucleotide small RNA is filed under the name Pan troglodytes (chimpanzee). Its description in RNAcentral is "processed transcript". Lineage: Eukaryota; Metazoa; Chordata; Mammalia; Primates; Hominidae. The record is from RNAcentral.
ACGGCAGAGUCUGAGGCCCAGACUGGGUCCCCUGAGUCUUUAGCAUGGGGCUCUUCCAAGACCCCGGAGGGUUAUCCACAGGGGAUGGCCCUGCUGGCACUUACGGAGGGGAGAGCUUAUGGGAGACACGUCGGUGGCAGAGAACCUGUGACAGUCGUUCCCAUUCGUUGUCUAAGACGUUGUCGUUCAUACAGUGUAUGAGCUCAGUGGAGAGCACCAUGACGAAGAGUGGUCAGUGAAGACUUACCAGGAAGUAGCUCAGAAGUUUGUGGAAACUCACCCUGAGUUCAUUGGAAUCAAAAUCAUUUAUUCGGAUCACAGAUCCAAAGAUGUGGCUGUCAUCGCAGAAUCCAUCCGAACGGCCAUGGGGCUCCGAACCAAGUUCCCCACGGUGGUGGCAGGGUUUGACCUGGUAACCCAUGCUGUGAACAGAAGGGCUGCCUGUUAACGGGGCAUGCGAGGAUGCCUGUCUGGGUGGAGCGGCAACUCCCUGGGAAGGGAGCGCAAUGUGCCUGUUGGUACCCUGACAUCCCAGGGCAGGCUCAGGCUGCUGACGCAGCAGGGCUGCUC